GCAUUUGAAGACAAUUCACGCAUUCCAUACAUUCUUGCAUUUUUCAGUGUCCUACAACCAAUAAAAUUACAGGGUUUCCAGACCGGAUAGGCUAUGGUAAAAGCACAAAAUCAGGAGCCUAGACUAGGAAUAUUCGAGUCAAAACUUAAAUACGUAAGUGAUUCAGCACUAUACAAGAAAACCUAAACUUGGAUCACUAUACACUCUUUUAGGUUUUUUUUCCCCAAUAUAUACAUGAUACUGGAAUAAUGAAAGUUACCUACAACUGAACGCAUAAUCCCCAGAGAGCAACUAAUGACAAAUAAAAAAAUUGUAGCAGAUGCCAUUAAUAGACGGCAGUUGAAACUUCUACCAGUAGCCUUUCACACUGGCACAUUUGAUGAUUCAAUAUUGGGUAGCAAAACUGCAUGGAAGUUCAGGCACAUCCAAGAUCCAACAAUGUUGAAGCAUCAUCAUUUGGUCUCAUUACUCACCCAAAUUGAGCAACGUUCUUUGGUAGAUUGUCUUUAAGGGUUUUGUUUGCAACAAUUGCUUCUGUGUCAUUUGCAACAAUUGCUUCUGUGUCAAUCUCAUAAGAAGAGAGCAACCUUCUAUGAUCUUCAAAAUCAGGACUGGUCAGAUUGAUAGAGAGGUUUCUCAUCAACAACAGCACCGUUUCAACAUCUAUGGGGUCCAUUUUUUUAAGUUUCUGCAGAUGACCACUAGCAUUUGGGUCAAAUACACUGCCAAUAAAUUUGUAUACUUGAGCGAAGUCAGGCAGAACUCUCAAUGGAUGCCCAUGAUUCCCUAGCUCAGCUGAUUCCCCAAGUGGUUUUGUUCUAGGAGCACUCUCAGUGCUACUGCAACAAUUAUAUGCCACUUUUGUUUGAUUUGAUAAUCUGACAGCUGGCAAAUUAUUUUUCCGGGAAGCUGUAGCAGCACUAGCAAUUGGGUUCCUAGGCAUUGAUGCGGUAUCACGCCUUCGAACAAAUCCAGGUUCAAGGAGGGCAGACGAUGAUUGGAAGGAACCCGGAGGUUGUGAGAGCACUGGGGAAUUUUUAGUGGCUUUUUGAGGAUAUGGAUGAGCAGCUUUCCUUUUAGGCCUAGGAGGAGGCAGGUGUUCAUUGGUUCCACUCUUCUGAACCUUUAGAAAAUACUUCUGUGCAUGACUACGUAUCUGCAAAACAUCACUUUCAAUGUUUUCUUGUUGGUAUUGGUGCUUUUUGAUAUUUGAGAACAGAAAAAAAGGAAAGGAGGAGGGGAUUGGGGGUAGAUAAAACCAUACCGACUGUGUGAAAUCACAUAUAAUUCCUAUUCAUUAAGAAAAUUGCUGCAAUAACUACAGUGAAAAUCCUUGUGAGAAAGAGUGUAUACUCUAUUUGAGUUUAUGUAAAUUAUUGCCAGAGCAUUCUUGCAUCACCAAAUGCAUCAAGUGACAUGAGUGACAUUCAUACAGAAACAUUUAACUCAAAUAAGUAACAGGAAAUGUAUGCAACAGAUACGGCCAAAAAAUGAGAGAGUGACAGAGAGGACCAGCAAUAUUGUUUCUUCAAUAAUGAGAAUUAAAAUACAAGGGAGGACAACGACUAAUAAGAAUUACAUUUUGUCCGGAUAAUGUAAACUACAAAAUUAUCUUUGAUACCUGAAUAACUGAUUUUGACCCAACAAAUGCUUUAAUCUUUUUCCAGUCACGAUCAAAGCUGAAAAGGAUCAACGUAAACAUGAUAAGGGUGUGCAUGAAGAAAACAGGAUAAAGAGGAACUUAACAACCAUGAAAUCCCUAUUGUCAGGAAUAGUUAAUUCAUUUUUGGAUAGAAGUUUCCAACAAAAUUGAGCCCAAAAAUCAUGAGAUUGUUAUUGCAAAAAUGAGACGCCUCUUCUGAAAUAAUUAGUUGAAGAGCUUCGAGGAAUUUGUCGUGCUCAGGUUCGGUCCAGCUUUCUCUGGACUUGGUGAUGGUGUAGGGUUUUCGGAUCUUCUUAGACGGAUCCUCCGAUGAAGAUGUAGUGGAUGCAGCGGCGACCGGUCCAAAUCCGGGUAGGGCCAUUCCGUUCGGUUCCAAAUAGAAUCCGUCUUGCAGGUUCGGAUUUUUUGAGACCAUAUGAGAUAUUGAGAUUUGGGGUUUUAGCUUUGAAUUAUCAUAUUAAAGGAGAAACAACUCUUUUGCAGAGACACGAAGGGUGCUCAUA
This 2166-nucleotide unclassified non-coding RNA is filed under the name Hevea brasiliensis (rubber tree). The record is from RNAcentral. Lineage: Eukaryota; Viridiplantae; Streptophyta; Magnoliopsida; Malpighiales; Euphorbiaceae.